RNAcentral lists this long non-coding RNA (652 nucleotides) under Mytilus galloprovincialis (Mediterranean mussel). The record is from RNAcentral. Lineage: Eukaryota; Metazoa; Mollusca; Bivalvia; Mytilida; Mytilidae.
UGGGGUCACCGUAAUGGAAAAAGAGAUAUUUCAAAAAAGGGGUUAACAAUUUGAAUUGGCGGGAACACAUUGCGCCAAUUCUAAAAACAACGUCGAAAAGACGUUCGGAGUUCGGCCGUUUUAGGCUAUAUUCUCACAAAUUAGAGACAACCCAGUUCUCGUUAUUUGCUGUUUUGUUGUUUGUUUGUUUUAAACUACGAUAAAUUCACAGUAAAUCUACACAUGAUAGUACUUAGUUUUCAGUCAGUAUCACAGACACGUAAUAUAAAUGCGGUGGUUGGAAAACAAUGCGUUGUACAAAAGUACACACGAAUGCUUCUGUGAACAUUUCAUUUCAGGUUAUUCAUAGUGCUUACGUGUUGAACAGAAAUUCUUUUUAAAAUAGUGAAGACAUUUUAUAUAAUAUCAUUGUUCAAUCAAAGUACAUCUGAAAGACAAGACAGAAUUUUGCUUCCGGUAUCAUGAAUUUUAAUUUCGUUUAAGAAUGUUGUUCCUUUUUAUUUUGAUGAUAAUUACUUAAAAUCAUUAGAAAAUCUAAGACUCCGUUUCCAAUAACAAUAAAGAUCGAUCAUUUCUGAGAUCGCCGAUCUUUAGUAUUGCAAAAAUGAGAAAGAUUGAUCUUCAAUCGGACGUAAACAUUCCAUCCCCAGAC